This 87-nucleotide non-coding RNA is filed under the name Pseudomonas sp. NFACC13-1. The record is from RNAcentral. Lineage: Bacteria; Pseudomonadati; Pseudomonadota; Gammaproteobacteria; Pseudomonadales; Pseudomonadaceae.
CUUGAUGGUAGCUGUGCGCAGGGCGCCCUCGGGCGCGCCGGUUUCUUGGAUCCCCGGUCGACUAACCUGCGUACAGCUGCCCCCCUC